Molecule: ribosomal RNA, 250 nt
Filed under: uncultured bacterium
Lineage: Bacteria
Description: partial 16S ribosomal RNA
Rfam family: Bacterial small subunit ribosomal RNA
Source: RNAcentral
UACGGAGGGUGCAAGCGUUAUCCGGAUUCACUGGGUUUAAAGGGUGCGUAGGUGGGUCGGUAAGUCAGUGGUGAAAUCCCCGAGCUUAACUUGGGAACUGCCAUUGAUACUAUCGGUCUUGAAUACUGUGGAGGUCAGCGGAAUAUGUCAUGUAGCGGUGAAAUGCUUAGAUAUGACAUAGAACACCAAUUGCGAAGGCAGCUGGCUACACAAAUAUUGACACUGAGGCACGAAAGCGUGGGGAUCAAAC